Molecule: ribosomal RNA, 225 nt
Filed under: uncultured bacterium
Lineage: Bacteria
Description: partial 16S ribosomal RNA
Rfam family: Bacterial small subunit ribosomal RNA
Source: RNAcentral
GGGAGUAAUGUCUGGGAAACUGCCUGAUGGAGGGGGAUAACUACUGGAAACGGUAGCUAAUACCGCAUAACGUCGCAAGACCAAAGAGGGGGACCUUCGGGCCUCAUGCCAUCAGAUGUGCCCAGAUGGGAUUAGCUAGUAGGUGGGGUAACGGCUCACCUAGGCGACGAUCCCUAGCUGGUCUGAGAGGAUGACCAGCCACACUGGAACUGAGACACGGUCCAG